This 344-nucleotide long non-coding RNA is filed under the name Gossypium barbadense (sea-island cotton). Its description in RNAcentral is "long non-coding RNA (GBAR_LNC006500)". The record is from RNAcentral. Lineage: Eukaryota; Viridiplantae; Streptophyta; Magnoliopsida; Malvales; Malvaceae.
AUUAGUUCAUACCUAUGACGGGUAGCCGAAUGUGUAUAGAGAUCAUGUUAUAAAGCAAAUCAAAAUCAUGUUGUUUGUAUGUGGCUAUUGAGCCGAAAAUGGUAAUGGUUGAUAAGCGUCUUGUGUUUGAAUUCUAGUUAUGAUAAUGAAAUAUGGAUGUGUCAUGAUUUAUUGGUAUCUGUGCUUGAUUAUUUGGAUGAUAUCCGGGCUAAGUGUCGAAGGUAUUUCUGCAAGUUACUAUAUCCGGGUUAAGUCCCGAAGGCAUUUGUGCGAGUAGUUGCUAUACUCGGGCUAAGUCCCGAAGGCAUUUGUGCUAGUGACUAUAUCCGGGCUAAGUCUCGAAG